This 1259-nucleotide ribosomal RNA is filed under the name uncultured bacterium. RNAcentral describes it as "bacterial SSU rRNA". It matches the Rfam family "Bacterial small subunit ribosomal RNA", at positions 94 to 1366 of the family's 1533-position model. The record is from RNAcentral.
AGUGGCGGACGGGUGAGUAACGCGUGGGGAACCUGCCCCAUACCGGGGGAUAACAGCCGGAAACGGCUGCUAAUACCGCAUAAGCGCACAGUACCGCAUGGUACGGUGUGAAAAACUCCGGUGGUGUGAGAUGGAUCCGCGUCUGAUUAGGUAGUUGGUGAGGUAACGGCCCACCAAGCCGACGAUCAGUAGCCGACCUGAGAGGGUGACCGGCCACAUUGGGACUGAGAGACGGUCCAGACUCCUACUGGAGGCAGCAGUGGGGAAUAUUUGGGCAAUGGGCGAAAGCCUGACCCAGCAACGCCGCGUGAGGGAAGAAGGGUUUCGGCUCGUAAACCUCUGUCCUAUGGGACGAAGGAAGUGACGGUACCAUAGGAGGAAGCCCCGGCUAACUACGUGCCAGCAGCCGCGGUAAUACGUAGGGGGCGAGCGUUGUCCGGAAUGAUUGGGCGUAAAGGGCGCGUAGGCGGCCUGCUAAGUCUGGAGUGAAAGUCCUGCUUUCAAGGUGGGAAUUGCUUUGGAUACUGGUGGGCUGGAGUGCAGGAGAGGAAAGCGGAAUUACCGGUGUAGCGGUGAAAUGCGUAGAGAUCGGUAGGAACACCAGUGGCGAAGGCGGCUUUCUGGACUGAAACUGACGCUGAGGCGCGAAAGCGUGGGGAGCAAACAGAAAUAGAUACCCUGGUAGUCCACGCGGUAAACGAUGACUCCUAAGUGUAGGAGGUAUUCGACCCCUUUUGUGCCGCAGUAAACACAAUAAGCAUUCCGCCUGGGGAGUACGGCCGCAAGGUUGAAACUCAAAGGAAUUGACGGGGGCCCGCACAAGCAGCGGAGCAUGUGGUUUAAUUCGAAGCAACGCGAAGAACCUUACCAGGUCUUGACAUCCGUGUAAAGCCGCAGAGAUGCGGUGUGAGCUUGCUCAAUACGAGACAGGUGGUGCAUGGUUGUCGUCAGCUCGUGUCGUGAGAUGUUGGGUUAAGUCCCGCAACGAGCGCAACCCUUAUCGUCCGUUACUAACGCGUAAAGGCGAGGACUCAGACGAGACCGCCGGGGACAACUCGGAGGAAGGUGGGGACGACGUCAAAUCAUCAUGCCCCUUACGACCUGGGCUACACACGUGCUACAAUGGGUACAACAAAGAGAAGCGAGACCGCAAGGUGGAGCAAAACUCAGAAAAGUACUCUCAGUUCAGAUAGUGGGCUGCAACCCGCCCACAUGAAGUUGGAGUUGCUAGUAAUCGCGGAUCAGCAUGCCGCGGUGAA